This 637-nucleotide ribosomal RNA is filed under the name uncultured bacterium. Its description in RNAcentral is "bacterial SSU rRNA". It matches the Rfam family "Bacterial small subunit ribosomal RNA", at positions 231 to 859 of the family's 1533-position model. The record is from RNAcentral.
CUGCGGCGCAUUAGUUAGUUGGUAAGGUAACGGCUUACCAAGGCGACGAUGCGUAGCCGACCUGAGAGGGUGAUCGGCCACACUGGAACUGAGACACGGUCCAGACUCCUACGGGAGGCAGCAGUAGGGAAUCUUCCGCAAUGGGCGAAAGCCUGACGGAGCAACGCCGCGUGUGCGAAGAAGGUCUUCGGAUCGUAAAGCACUGUUGUUAAGGAAGAACGACAGUAUGAGUAACUGCUUACUGUGUGACGGUACUUAACCAGAAAGCCACGGCUAACUACGUGCCAGCAGCCGUGGUAAUACGUAGGUGGCAAGCGUUAUCCGGAAUUAUUGGGCGUAAAGCGCGCGUAGGCGGCGAGAUUAGUCUGAUGUGAAAGCCCCCGGCUCAACCGGGGAAGGUCAUUGGAAACUGUUUCGCUUGAGUGCAGAAGAGGAGAGUGGAAUUCCAUGUGUAGCGGUGAAAUGCGCAGAGAUAUGGAGGAACACCAGUGGCGAAGGCGGCUCUCUGGUCUGCAACUGACGCUGAUGUGCGAAAGCGUGGGGAUCAAACAGGAUUAGAUACCCUGGUAGUCCACGCCGUAAACGAUGAGUGCUAAGUGUUAGGGGGUUUCCGCCCCUUAGUGCUGCAGCAAACGCA